Molecule: ribosomal RNA, 404 nt
Filed under: uncultured bacterium
Lineage: Bacteria
Description: partial 16S ribosomal RNA
Rfam family: Bacterial small subunit ribosomal RNA
Source: RNAcentral
GAUGAACGCUGACAGAAUGCUUAACACAUGCAAGUCAACUGUGGCGGACGGGUGAGUAACGCGUAAAGAACUUGCCUCACAGAUAGGGACAACAUUUGGAAACGAAUGCUAAUACCUGAUACUGUGAGAGAGCUUUGCGUCCAAUUAGCUAGUUGGAGAGGUAACGGCUCACAAAGGCGAUGAUGGGUAGCCGGCCUGAGAGGGUGAUAGGCCACAAGGGGAAUUAGAGACGGCCCUUACACCUACGGGGGGCAGCAGUGGGGAAUAUUGGACAAUGGACCAAAGUCUGAUCCAGCAAUUCUGUGUGCACGAUGAAGUUUUCGGAAUGUAAAGUGCUUUCAGUUGGGAAGCGAAACCAACAGAAGAAGUGACGGCUAACUACGCGCCAGCAGCCGCGGUAAUAC